Mus musculus (house mouse) is the source of this 995-nucleotide long non-coding RNA. RefSeq annotates it as predicted gene, 33646. Lineage: Eukaryota; Metazoa; Chordata; Mammalia; Rodentia; Muridae. The record is from RefSeq and is a predicted model, not a curated record. The transcript has 6 exons.
GCUUAUGUAGUCAGUAGCAUGAGACUCAAUUCAGAGUCGCCAUUGAGUGUCCUUUCUGUUCCAUCCUGAGGGCUUAGCUCUGAAAGGGACAAGAGUUGCCUGUCCUCAUUUCUUGGCUAACAGCUCCUCUCCAUGAUACAAGUCUGUCUCAAAUUGGAGAUGUUUUAUCAAGUCUGCCCAGGAGGAUUUCUUCAGAGGGAAGAUUGGUAAAACUAUUUACUUGGCCUUUACCCAUAAGUCAUCGAAGGCCCCAUUUCCACAGCAUGCUGAAGCCAUCAUCUCAAGAAGCUUAGAGGUCCAGCACCUUGCCUAGACUGAUCUGAAACUCCCUAUGUAACCCAGUCUCCUGUAGCCUACCUACCCUCUAGCCUGGAACUCGCUAUUCUCCUGGGACUGACUGGGAACCUCUGCUUUCCACAUCCUAGGUAUUGGCUUAUGACACUUCAGCAGGCCGCCUCUCUACCGUCAGGUCAAGCUGGAGUGGCUCAGUUAGAGGGAAAUGAACUUCACCUUCAGUCAGCAUCAGACUUCUUUCUGGUCUACAAGAGGGAAAUGUGGUUCCUGUCUGAGCCAUAUUAACUCUUCAAGAGAACAAUUGCAUUCUGCGUCUGUGUUCUAAAGAAAUGAACCAAGGAACCAUCCAUCCAUCUGCUUCGGAACGUGUUCCACACUGGUUUAAGCCAUGUGGCUAGAUGUUCUUCUACUAGACUAAUAAAAACAUUCCUGGCUUAUGUUUCAAUGGACCGGAGAAGCAGAACUUGCACUUCGUGGCUCUGCCUGGAAACUGCCUGCCAGCAUGCAAAUCUCCUCCUGGUGCUGAUGGAAAUCUGAGAAUGUGCUAAGCUGUGGAAGGCUUAAGAGCAACAUUAUUCAUUCACUAUUUGAAAUAUUUAAACAAAUGGAAAUCAAAAAAAGAGAUGAAAUCUCAUUAUAAGAAAUGAAUGGCUGCUUUCUGCGCUCUCUACAGUACAGUCUCGAUACCAUUUACAUAGCAU